UACAGAGGUCCCAAGCGUUGUUCGGAUUCACUGGGCGUAAAGGGUGCGUAGGCGGUCGGGUAAGUCUGAUGUGAAAUCUCCAAGCUCAACUUGGAAAUGGCAUCGGAUACUAUUCGGCUGGAGUACUGCAGGGGAGACUGGAAUUCCUGGUGUAGCGGUGGAAUGCGCAGAUAUCAGGAGGAACACCGGUGGCGAAGGCGGGUCUCUGGGCAGUAACUGACGCUGAGGAGCGAAAGCGUGGGGAGCGAACAGG
RNAcentral lists this ribosomal RNA (253 nucleotides) under uncultured bacterium. Its description in RNAcentral is "partial 16S ribosomal RNA". It matches the Rfam family "Bacterial small subunit ribosomal RNA", at positions 524 to 776 of the family's 1533-position model. The record is from RNAcentral.